Molecule: long non-coding RNA, 334 nt
Organism: Leptopilina boulardi
Lineage: Eukaryota; Metazoa; Arthropoda; Insecta; Hymenoptera; Figitidae
Exons: 3
Source: RefSeq, a predicted model, not a curated record
AUGUCAAGAGUAUAAAAAGGCAUAGAACAAUUCUUCUUUACAAUAUAUUCUUUAAAUUUCCAAGUUAUAAUUUUUAAAAGUCAAUCAUGAAAGUUUUAUCAACUUGUUUGGUAGCAGCAGUUUUAGUUAUUUGCUGGGCUACAUUUGGAGAGGCUGCGGGAGGAGCAUCUAUACAUAAGAUGGGGGAAACAGGUGGAGCAGCAAUACACAAACAUUAGCGUGUAAAGAUCUGUCGCCUUAUUAAAAAUGGAACUUAAGUUCCAUAAAGAGGACACAAUUUCUUCAAUAGUUAAUUGUGUAUAAAUAUUUAAAUGAAUAAAAAAAUUUAAUUGAA